AAAUUGAAGAGUUUGAUCAUGGCUCAGAUUGAACGCUGGCGGCAGGCCUAACACAUGCAAGUCGAACGGUAACAGGAAGCAGCUUGCUGCUUUGCUGACGAGUGGCGGACGGGUGAGUAAUGUCUGGGAAACUGCCUGAUGGAGGGGGAUAACUACUGGAAACGGUGGCUAAUACCGCAUAACGUCGCAAGACCAAAGAGGGGGACCUUCGGGCCUCUUGCCAUCAGAUGUGCCCAGAUGGGAUUAGCUUGUUGGUGAGGUAACGGCUCACCAAGGCGACGAUCCCUAGCUGGUCUGAGAGGAUGACCAGCCACACUGGAACUGAGACACGGUCCAGACUCCUACGGGAGGCAGCAGUGGGGAAUAUUGCACAAUGGGCGCAAGCCUGAUGCAGCCAUGCCGCGUGUAUGAAGAAGGCCUUAGGGUUGUAAAGUACUUUCAGCGGGGAGGAAGGUGUUGCGGUUAAUAACCGCAGCAAUUGACGUUACCCGCAGAAGAAGCACCGGCUAACUCCGUGCCAGCA
This 523-nucleotide ribosomal RNA is filed under the name Salmonella enterica subsp. enterica serovar Paratyphi B var. L(+) tartrate +. Its description in RNAcentral is "bacterial SSU rRNA". It matches the Rfam family "Bacterial small subunit ribosomal RNA", at positions 1 to 513 of the family's 1533-position model. The record is from RNAcentral. Lineage: Bacteria; Pseudomonadati; Pseudomonadota; Gammaproteobacteria; Enterobacterales; Enterobacteriaceae.